This 527-nucleotide ribosomal RNA is filed under the name uncultured bacterium. RNAcentral describes it as "bacterial SSU rRNA". It matches the Rfam family "Bacterial small subunit ribosomal RNA", at positions 1 to 518 of the family's 1533-position model. The record is from RNAcentral.
ACGUCUACGAGAGGGUUUCGAUUACUGGCUCAGGAUGAACGCUGGCGGCGUGCCUAAUACAUGCAAGUCGAACGAGGGUGCUUGCACCCUAGUGGCGAACGGGUGAGUAACACGUAGGUAACCUGCCCUUAAGCUUGGGAUACCCAGAGGAAACUUUGGCUAAUACCGGAUAACAACAGAGAAGGCAUCUUCUUUGCUUGAAAGGCCCUUUCGGGUCACUUAAGGAUGGACCUGCGGCGCAUUAGCUAGUUGGUGAGAUAACAGCCCACCAAGGCGAGGAUGCGUAGCCGAACUGAGAGGUUGAUCGGCCACAUUGGAACUGAGACACGGUCCAAACUCCUACGGGAGGCAGCAGUAAGGAGUUUUCGGCAAUGGGGGAAACCCUGACCGAGCAACGCCGCGUGAGUGAUGACGGCCCUAUGGGUUGUAAAGCUCUUUUAUAAGGGACGAAUGGUGGGGUUAGGAAAUGAACUCCAUUUGACGGUACCUUUUGAAUAAGCCACGGCUAACUACGUGCCAGCCGCGGC